GGUGAGCGUAGCUCAGCUGGUUAGAGCACCGGACUGUGGAUCCGGGGGUCGUGGGUUCAAGUCCCAUCGCUCACCCCA
Molecule: transfer RNA, 78 nt
Filed under: Thermus thermophilus HB27
Lineage: Bacteria; Thermotogati; Deinococcota; Deinococci; Thermales; Thermaceae
Description: tRNA(his) from Thermus thermophilus HB27 (PDB 4RDX, chain C)
Rfam family: tRNA
About the family: Transfer RNA (tRNA) molecules are approximately 80 nucleotides in length. Their secondary structure includes four short double-helical elements and three loops (D, anti-codon, and T loops).
Source: RNAcentral